Molecule: transfer RNA, 97 nt
Filed under: Woeseiaceae bacterium
Lineage: Bacteria; Pseudomonadati; Pseudomonadota; Gammaproteobacteria; Woeseiales; Woeseiaceae
Description: tRNA-Tyr
Rfam family: tRNA
About the family: Transfer RNA (tRNA) molecules are approximately 80 nucleotides in length. Their secondary structure includes four short double-helical elements and three loops (D, anti-codon, and T loops).
Source: RNAcentral
CUCGGUUUAGCUCAGUUGGUAGAGCAUUCGACUGUAGUUGUAGCAUAAAUAGUAAAUAGUAAUCGAAAUGUCAUCGGUUCAAAUCCGAUAACCGAGA